This 253-nucleotide ribosomal RNA is filed under the name uncultured bacterium. RNAcentral's name for it is "partial 16S ribosomal RNA". It matches the Rfam family "Bacterial small subunit ribosomal RNA", at positions 524 to 776 of the family's 1533-position model. The record is from RNAcentral.
UACGAAGGGGGCUAGCGUUGCUCGGAAUCACUGGGCGUAAAGGGUGCGUAGGCGGUUCUUUAAGUCAGGGGUGAAAUCCUGGAGCUCAACUCCAGAACUGCCUUUGAUACUGAGGAUCUUGAGUUCGGGAGAGGUGAGUGGAACUGCGAGUGUAGAGGUGAAAUUCGUAGAUAUUCGCAAGAACACCAGUGGCGAAGGCGGCUCACUGGCCAGAUACUGACGCUGAGGCACGAAAGCGUGGGGAGCAAACAGG